This is a long non-coding RNA of Gadus morhua (Atlantic cod), 3607 nucleotides long. The record is from Ensembl. NCBI's taxonomy places the organism in Eukaryota, Metazoa, Chordata, Actinopteri, Gadiformes, Gadidae.
CAAUAGUCUAAUAAUGACAUUAUUAAGAAAAAUACAUGGUUGUUUUUUCAAGACUUGUUCAAGACUUGAAAAGUUUGGGACUUAGACUUGGACUUGCUUUGGUGUGACUUUGACUUGGACUGGACUUGCCUUUCCCUGUCUUGACUUGGGACUCGACUCGGACUUGACUACUAAGACUUGGGACUUACUUGGGUCUUGCAAAACAGUGACUUUGUCCCACCUCUGUCCGUUUCAUUCAAACAUACACAUUCAAACACACAACAUACACUACUAUUCUCUCUCACAUACAUUACUAUUCUCUCUCACAUACCCAAAUAUACUCUCUCACAUACACUACUAUACUCUCUCAAAUACACUACUAUACUCUCUCACAUACACGACUAUACACUCAUACAUGCAUGUAAAAGGAGUAUAAUAGUGUGUGUGUAUGAGUAUAGUGGUGUAUAUGCAAGAUUAUAAUAGUGUGUGUAAGACCAAGUAUGAAUUCUGUCCCAGGUGGCCCCUCAUAGUUAAGGGAUGCUUACCGUGAUGCUACUGUAUCUAACAGGAUUUAGUUUUCACCUACAGUAGUAGGUGAAAACUAACAUAUUGUUGUAUAUUGUUUUUGUAUUUUUGUAGAUUAUUGACAUUGAAACUUUUAAUAUUUAUCAAUAACGUUACUAUUAUAUUAUUAUAUUAAGGGAGAGAGGAAAAUGAGAGGGAGACAGUUGACGGAAACAAGGAAAAUGAGAGUGAAAAUGAAGAAAGUUCGGAGGCAAGGGAGACAAAGCAGAGAAAGGCAAAAACAGUUGUUGAGUCUGGUGAAGAAAAUGAUGACACACAUGAAGGGGACGACAAAAUGACAACGCAAACACCACCAACAGUUGAAGAACUCACCGAAAGUGACAGUGAAGAACAACUUUCAGCGACAAUGACAAGAAGGAGAAAAGUAAAAACAGCUGUUUACUCUGGAGAUGAAAGUGAUGACACAAAUGAAGGAGAUUUCAAAAUUACAAUUCAACCAUCACCAACAGUUGAAGAACUCACCGAAAGUGACAGUGAAGAACAACUUUCAGCGACAAUGACAAGAAGGAGAAAAGUAAAAACAGCUGUUUACUCUGGAGAAGAAAGUGAUGACACAAAUGAAGGAGAUUUCAAAAUUACAAAUCAACCAUCACCAACAGUUCAAGAACUCACAGAAAGUGACAAUGAAGAAGAACAAAUUUCGGAGACAAAGGGAGAAGAGCACACAAAAAAAAAUGAUAAAGAGGACACGUACAGGACGUGCGUAGUCGGUCCAAAAGAAUUCAAAUUUAAGGUCGCAAGAAAAAAUUGGAUAAAAAUAAAGCCGGAAAAGGGAAAAAGACAACUGAGACCCCCAUGGACCGAUAUAUUCUACAAUGAAUUUAGAAAAAGCAACCCAUCGUGCACAUUGGCCUUUAAGUACCAAAAUAUUAGAACACGUGACAGCCGGAAAAAAAAAUCACCAUACCUCCGCGCCACAGCCAAGUGCACGUUUGAAGGUUGUGAGGCGGUUUACACUUUCACCAGGAAAGGCCCACCAAAAUACAACGCAAAAAAGAUUACUGUCAUGGUGACACGGUUUGGGGAAGUCAAACACCUUAAGUCUCAGAGAAAAUGUAGGCCUGCAAGAUACCUCAGGAGAGGAAAAAUAGCAAAAGCAGUAAAAAGUGGUGUGAGCAACUGCUAUUACGAAUUGCUGAAAAACACACCUGUGGAGGAGAUCAUGGCUGGUAACAUAACCAGAAGCCUCACAAAAGACGUGUUAAAAAUCAUAUCUUACGAGAUCAGAAGCGUUGCAAGGCUUCACAAUGACCAAUUGUUGGAGCUAAUGCUCACUCAGAGGAUUAUCAGAGAGAGUGGUCGGCAAACUCGGCAUGCAUCAUCGAACGGCUAUCUGCAGCUCCUCCAGAUUGACCCUUUUGCAACCCACUUAUACACUGAUGCGGGCCUGCAAAUUUUGGCUGAACAUUUGAGAGGACCCAUGCCCACUACCCUAUACCUCGAUGCAACAGGUGGGGUAGUUCAGAAAGUACCCCAUCAGUCAAAAAGAGUUCUCUAUUAUGCCCUGGUUCUGCCUGGAAUGGGCAAGGACAAGCCGCCUUUGCCAGUCGCGGAGUUCGUGACUAACAGCCAUAGUGUUCCAUCAAUAUCGCACUGGCUUAUGGAGUUCAAUAGGAGGCUGUCCCACAUUACCGGGAGAAAAAUUGCACAAAUAGAGACAGAUUACAGCUGGGCGUUGAUGAACAGUGUGCUCAUCUCUUUUAACCACGAGGAUGUCUCUGCAUACCUUUGCAGAGCAUUCGAAAUUGUGUCGGGACAACUCAAAGUCAUUCCAAAAUUCACUGUGCUCCAUUUGUGCUCUGCACAUAUACUUAAGGCAGUCUCCCAGGCCUUUGGGAGAACAACCAGUGACAGAGGCAUAAAGGAGUAUGCAACAUACAGUUUUGCAUACCUGCUGAACUGUACAAGCUUGCCAGAAGCACUUGAGGUUUUCUACCACAUGUGUGUGCUGUUUGAUGCAGAACAGCACACAGACUCAAUCAAUACCAGUGAAAGGUACCUGAAUGGCUGCAUUUUGCAGAGUCAACACAUGGAUAUUGAGGAAACACAAGAGGGGAGCAGGAUCUGUGAUUCCAGUGACCCUUCCAAUGGCAUUCUCGCAAGGUCCCCCUUCAUGCAGGCUUUUGACCUAAGAAGGGAGCAAGCCACAUGUGACGUCCUGUCUGAUGAGGAAGCAGACAAAAACAACAACUACCACUGCCCAGGUAUAAUAAAUGUCUUGCUUAAGACAUACAUGGGCAUCUUUCCCUUGUGGAGUGGUGUACUACUCGCUGAUCUAUCGAGGCACUCUAAAGGAUCUAUCACAAGAGGAACAGGGUGCAAAACACGGGAAACCAACUGCCAUGUCGAACUAUGGUUUAGGUUGGUGAAACACAGCAUUCUGUGCAAAAGAAAAUACCUCAGACCUGCAGAGUUUGUCUCUAAAAUGUUUGCCUCAGUGCAGGGGAGGUAUGUUGAACAUGUGAUUCAACAAAGCCUGCCAAUUGAUGUACUUCAGAGAAACCUUCAAAGCUCUGUUAAGCUGGAAGAUGACCCAGAAGAGCAAUGGUGUAAGAGGGACACCUCUUCUGGCAGUUCAAAGCGCAAGUCAAAAUAUUUCAAUCCUCCAAAAAACAUUCCAAACCCCAAGACCAAGACCAAAAGCAAGAAGAUCAUAAAAGUGGAGCAGAAUCAACGGGUUGAAGAUGCACAAUUAAACUUGCUGUGGAAAAAGAGGGGAACAGAGAUAAUUGUUGCAACCCUGCCAUCCCAAGUGAAGGGUCGGAGCCUCUUCAUCCACCACACUGAUCUACGGUGUCUACGACCCCACCUGUGGUUGACAGGAGAGGUAGGCGUAUUAAAAGCUCUUCCUCUCACUGCUAGUCUAUCUGUCUUUCAAUUUGUAGUCCUUCAAACUGAUGUAUUUGGAGGACUGAAGACCUCCAUUAACUCACACACACACACACACACACACACACACACACACACACACACACACACACACACACACACACACACACACACACACACACACACACACACACACGUAAUAAUGUCAAUGUGA